AUGAAUUUGCCAACAACAAUCGAUCACAACACAAUAACAGCAAAUCGGACCUGCAACCAAGAAAUUUCAAGACGGAAAAACAAAAGAACAUGCUUCAGGCAUUUCACCGAACACUUGGUGUGCAUAGCGCGAAACGAUAAAUUCAACAACAAUUCUUCACUAAUUCAUAAAUCACAACAUGCAACAAUAAUGAAUAACAACACAACAACGAUUCCACAUUGA
This is a non-coding RNA of Vicia faba (fava bean), 222 nucleotides long. The record is from the annotation of a GenBank genome assembly. Lineage: Eukaryota; Viridiplantae; Streptophyta; Magnoliopsida; Fabales; Fabaceae.